This 1938-nucleotide long non-coding RNA is filed under the name Coffea arabica (coffee). Its description in RNAcentral is "long non-coding RNA (CARA_LNC003563)". The record is from RNAcentral. Lineage: Eukaryota; Viridiplantae; Streptophyta; Magnoliopsida; Gentianales; Rubiaceae.
AGUGCAUGGAUAUUAUUCCAAGUUCAUAAUUUUUUGUAGAGUAGAAGUAGUGAUAUUCCCAGCAGCAAAGCUAGAAAUAUUUGCCUUGGAAAGCAAAUCUCUAAACCAAUUGCUAGACACAUCAAGAGAGAUGCUGACUUGUAUACUCUCAGGUCACCGACAUUCGUCACCGACAUUGCUCAGGUCUGUUUCUACUUCAGGAUAAGAAAUUCAUUUUUUCUCCACCUCAAGUUAUUUAGCUGUUUAGCUCUUCUGUACUUCUGGGUCACUGAAAACAUUGAUGAUUAAUGCAAGAAUCCUGAUUGCAGAAUUAAUGGUCAUUUCUGUGCAGUAAAUUCUAUUAGCGUAGAAUAUCUUGUGAGCUGAUGGUAAAAGAAUUCUUUCCACUUAAACCUUUUAUUUUCCGAGAUUGCUUAAAAUAAUCUCCUUUCCUGUCAUAAGUUGUCAGCAACAUAUUUGUGGAAAAUAAAAGCAGCCCAGAUGUUGUAUGAAGAACUGAUGCAUGAUAUUUGAAAAUAAAUGUGUUUUGCAGUUUAGGUUGAUAAUUCUGUACCAUCAGAUCAUUUGAAGAUUAAAAGAGUUAUACUUCCUUCUCUAUUAAUCGACAUAUUUUGGUAAUACAAAUCAUAGCAUCAAUACAUAUGUUCCAUGUUUAAGGAAACUUAUUUUGAAGGCCUUGAACGUAGAUCCAUCACUCUUUAGCACAAACAAAGUGCAAGAAACUUAUUAAUAAUAAUAAACCUCAAUGAUCGAUCUCAAGCCCAGUACUGGAGUUAUCUUAUAGCCAUUGAAGCCCGCCUCAAGGAAAAGCUUUUCCCAGUCUUUCUCAUUUCUUUCUCUUCCUUUGGCAUGAACCAUCAUCAGCAUAUCGAAGAACAAUUGGGUUUCAAUAGCCUCUGCAUCAUCAUCUCCAUUUUGCUGGCUUUUCAGCAGCAUGUCAAUAAUGAUCACCUUGCCUCCCUUUUCCUUGCUAGGAAUUGCUUCUUUACAUUUCCUGAGUAUUUGUACACAUUCCUCAUCGCUCCAAUCAUGCAAUAUCCACUGCCAUUAGCAUCAUAAAGCAUUGAAGAAUUUGUCAGAAAACUCAUAUAUCCCAUGUAAAAUUUGUUGACUAAAAUGAUUAAAAGAAAAUGAUAGAUAGUGUGGGAGAAGUUAGAAAAUGAUAGAUAGUGUGGGAGAAGUUAAAAAGCAAGACUAUCGUUAUUUUUAUCAAUCAAAAACAUAAAAGUAUCACCAAGUUUAGUGAAUGAAGAGUAAUAAGGUGAUAUAAUGUUUGAUCACAUACGCAAGGGGCAAAGAUGAAUCGCUCCAUUGUAUAAAAUUUCAUUUUUGAACGUGGAAACCAUACCUUGACUAUUCCGGAGGACAUGAAACACAAUUUGUUCUAUUAAUCAUAAGAUACGACUAGCAGUACUAGAUCCUAUCUUAAGAAAUUAAAAACAAUAGAAGGGUAUUGAAAUUGUAUUUGUUAAAACAUGUUUAUCCUUUUCUUCAUGGUGCAGUUUCCAAAUUAAGCAUGUGCCCAAAGCAUACUUUCUUGUUUACUUGAAGUUGACACUUGUCUCUUUAACAGGUGAAGUUUAAUAGUGGAAACUGAAGCAAAGUACACAAAGUUAGUUAUUAAACCAAUAAACUAUUUCUGAUUGAUUUAUACCUUCAAUAAAACAGCAUCUGCUGGAGGAAUGGCUUCAAACAUGUCACCUCCCACAUAGGCCAAGUUCUUACUACUUUCCCAGCCAUCAACGACAUGAGGAAGAUCAAGCACAGAGCAUUCCAGAUGAGGAAAAGCAUCAGCAAUAGCCUUAGCCACAGUUCCAGUUCCACCCCCAACAUCAAUCAACGAAUUCAGCCCCAUAAAAACAUCCUUACAAUUCUUGAUAACCAUGGUACUAACCAACCGGGCAUCACUAGCCAUGCCUUCAUUGAAAAACUGGUUUA